RNAcentral lists this ribosomal RNA (440 nucleotides) under uncultured bacterium. RNAcentral describes it as "partial 16S ribosomal RNA". It matches the Rfam family "Bacterial small subunit ribosomal RNA", at positions 338 to 795 of the family's 1533-position model. The record is from RNAcentral.
CCUACGGGAGACAGCAGUGGGGAAUAUUGCACAAUGGGGGAAACCCUGAUGCAGCGACGCCGCGUGAGUGAAGAAGUAUUUCGGUACGUAAAGCUCUAUCAGCAGGGAAGAAAAUGACGGUACCUGACUAAGAAGCCCCGGCUAACUACGUGCCAGCAGCCGCGGUAAUACGUAGGGGGCAAGUGUUAUCCGGAUUUACUGGGUGUAAAGGGAGCGUAGACGGCAGCGCAAGUCUGGAGUGAAAUCCCAUGGCUUAACCAUGGAACUGCUUUGGAAACUGUGCAGCUAGAGUGCAGGAGAGGUAAGCGGAAUUCCUAGUGUAGCGGUGAAAUGCGUAGAUAUUAGGAGGAACACCAGUGGCGAAGGCGGCUUACUGGACUGUAACUGACGUUGAGGCUCGAAAGCGUGGGGAGCAAACAGGAUUAGAUACCCCAGUAGUC